GACUGACUCGCUGACUGACUGACUGACUGGACUGACUCGCUGACUGACUGACAGACCGACUGACCGACCGACUGACUGACAGACUGACUGACUCGUUGACUGACUGACUGACUGGACUGACUUGCAGACUGACUGACUGACUGACUGACUGACUCGCUGACCGACCGACCGACCGACCGACCGACUGACUGACUGACUGACUCGCUGACCGACCGACCGACCGACUGACUGACCGACUGACUGACAGACUGCACAAAACACAAUUGCCUUGUGAUGGGAUGGCCUCUACCAAGAGAAAGGUGUCAGUGUGAACUGUAAUGGGAUGGCCUCUACCAAGAGAAAGGUGUCAGUGUGUAUUGUAAUGGGAUGGCCUCUCUACCAAGAGAAAGGUGUCAGUGUGAACUGUAAUGGGAUGGCCUCUCUACCAAGAGAAAGGUGUCAGUGUAGUGGGACUGUAAUGGGAUGGCCUCUCUACCAAGAGAAAGGUGUCAGUGUGAACUGUAAUGGGAUGGCCUCUACCAAGAGAAAGGUGUCAAUGUGAACUGUAAUGGGAUGGCCUCUCUACCAAGAGCUCUGCUCUCUGUGUCUCUCUGUCUCUGUGUUCCUUCCAGAGCUCUGCUCUCUGUGUCUCUGUGUUCCUUCCAGAACUCUACUCUCUGUGUCUCUGUGUUCCUUCCAGAACUCUACUCUCUGUGUCUCUGUGUUCCUUCCAGAGCUCUACUCUCUGUGUCUCUGUGUUCCUUCCAGAACUCUACUCUCUGUGUCUCUGUGUUCCUUCCAGAACUCUACUCUCUGUGUCUCUGUGUUCCUUCCAGAACUCUACUCUCUGUGUCUCUGUGUUCCUUCCAGAACUCUACUCUCUGUGUCUCUGUGUUCCUUCCAGAGCUCUGCUCUCUGUGUCUCUGUGUUCCUUCCAGAACUCUACUCUCUGUGUCUCUGUGUUCCUUCCAGAACUCUA
Molecule: long non-coding RNA, 958 nt
Organism: Oncorhynchus keta (chum salmon)
Lineage: Eukaryota; Metazoa; Chordata; Actinopteri; Salmoniformes; Salmonidae
Exons: 4
Source: RefSeq, a predicted model, not a curated record